This 200-nucleotide unclassified non-coding RNA is filed under the name soil metagenome. Its description in RNAcentral is "partial contains internal transcribed spacer 2 and large subunit ribosomal RNA". The record is from RNAcentral.
GAAUGUUGCUGGUCCUUAGGGACGUAGCUCGUUCGUAAUACAUUAGCAUCUCUAAUUCGAAAUCGGAUUGACUCAGUGUAAUAGACUAUUCGCUGAGGACACCUUAGGGUGGCCGACCUAGAUACUUGUAGAAGCUUCUAAUUUAUAUAGUCAAUUUUAGAUUAGACCUCAGAUCAGGCAGGAUUACCCGCUGAACUUAA